RNAcentral lists this transfer RNA (76 nucleotides) under Cliftonaea pectinata. RNAcentral's name for it is "tRNA-Arg". It matches the Rfam family "tRNA". From Rfam's summary of the family: Transfer RNA (tRNA) molecules are approximately 80 nucleotides in length. Their secondary structure includes four short double-helical elements and three loops (D, anti-codon, and T loops). Further hydrogen bonds mediate the characteristic L-shaped molecular structure. tRNAs have two regions of fundamental functional importance: the anti-codon, which is responsible for specific mRNA codon recognition, and the 3' end, to which the tRNAs corresponding amino acid is attached (by aminoacyl-tRNA synthetases). tRNAs cope with the degeneracy of the genetic code in two manners: having more than one tRNA (with a specific anti-codon) for a particular amino acid; and 'wobble' base-pairing, i.e. permitting non-standard base-pairing at the 3rd anti-codon position. Lineage: Eukaryota; Rhodophyta; Florideophyceae; Ceramiales; Rhodomelaceae. The record is from RNAcentral.
UGGGCUUGUAGCUCAGUGGAUUAGAGCACGUGGCUACGAACCACGGUGUCGGGGGUUCAAGUCCCUCCUUGCCCGG